GUUGUAGGGAGUGAUUGCAUGUAGUGGUGUUGGUGGUCUUAGAGACGCAUCUGUGAAUGCCCGUAAGAGGACUUUCAACCAUUGAUUCCAAUCUCAUUUGUGGCUGCUUCUUGCUGAUGUUAAGAAGUUGUUUUGUUGAUUGAGAAGUUGAAUGAGGUUAUCAAGGAGCUCGUUAAGGAAAAUGAAACAGAGAAGGAAAUGUUCAAAGAUAAAAAAGAUAAAGUGGAGAAAGAUGUUAUGCUCGUUACGUUACGAUGAUGAACACUGAAGUUAUGUUAACAACUUUGGUUCGAAAAUAGCUAUAAACACUUAUAGUUUGAAUGUUUGAAUUUGGGUUAUUUGAUGUUUUGAUUUAAGUGUUUAUUAUGAGGAACGUUGGUUGUUUGUUAUCUUUGAAAUUUCAUAAAAUGGUUAAUUU
This 418-nucleotide long non-coding RNA is filed under the name Helianthus annuus (common sunflower). RNAcentral's name for it is "sRNA HanXRQr2_Chr09g0403021". Lineage: Eukaryota; Viridiplantae; Streptophyta; Magnoliopsida; Asterales; Asteraceae. The record is from RNAcentral.